CCCGCUGAACUUAAGCAUAUCAAUAAGCGGAGGAAAAGAAACUAACAAGGAUUCCCCUAGUAACGGCGAGUGAAGCGGGAAGAGCUCAAAUUUAAAAUCUGGCAGUCUUUGGUUGCCCGAAUUGUAAUCUAGAGAAGCGUUUUCCGUGCUGGACUGUGUACAAGUUUCCUGGAUACGGAACAUCAUAGAGGGUGAGAAUCCCGUCCUUGACACAGACCCCCAGUACUUUUGUGAUGCGCUCUCGACGAGUCGAGUUGUUUGGGAUUGCAGCUCAAAAUGGGAGGUAAAUUCCUUCUAAAGCUAAAUAUUAGCGAGAGACCGAUAGCGAACAAGUACCGUGAGGGAAAGAUGAAAAGCACUUUGGAAAGAGAGUUAAACAGUACGUGAAAUUGUUAAAAGGGAAACGCUUGAAGUCAGUCACGUUUGCUUGGACUCAGCCUUACUUCGGUUUGGUGCAUUUCCUUGCAGACGGGCCAGCGUCCAUGUUGUUUGCCGGAGAAGGGGUGAGAGAAUGUGGCUCCUUUGGGAGUGUUAUAGCUCUUGCUCGUAUGCGGGGAAUGAUAUGGAGUGGUACAGCACACUUUGGUGGUGCUUGUGCUGGCAUAAUGGCUUUAAACGACCCGUCUUGAAACACGG
This 636-nucleotide ribosomal RNA is filed under the name uncultured fungus. RNAcentral describes it as "eukaryotic LSU rRNA". It matches the Rfam family "Eukaryotic large subunit ribosomal RNA", at positions 24 to 664 of the family's 3401-position model. The record is from RNAcentral. Lineage: Eukaryota; Fungi.